Marmota monax (woodchuck) is the source of this 1987-nucleotide long non-coding RNA. RefSeq lists it as uncharacterized. NCBI's taxonomy places the organism in Eukaryota, Metazoa, Chordata, Mammalia, Rodentia, Sciuridae. The record is from RefSeq and is a predicted model, not a curated record. The transcript has 2 exons.
CUGCCCUGCUCUGGGCGCCACGUUGCUCGGCUUCUCACGCACCCACCCGCCCUCUGGGAGGAGACAGUCCUUGCCCCGCACGGGCCCACGUAGGCCCGCACCUCUGCCGGCCAGUCUUCCCUGCGGGAGCUUUGCACAAGCUUGAGCCGUGCCGAGGCUUUCCCAUUGUUGACGUGGCUUCCCCUCUUGUCCGCUACUUGUAUUUGGAGUCUCGCUCUUUCUUUGUACAAAGGAAGCUUAACAAAUGCCACCAAGAGUUUCGAGGGCCCUGAGCAAGGCUUUGAGCCUGUCUGCAGCUCCCUCCAGCCGAGGGGAGAGAGCACAGAAGUUGGUCAGGGUGUCUGACCAGGGCUGGCGCUCCGUCUUGCUCUGAGCGACAUGAUGCUGGUGGUGUGGUCCUGAGUGGGCUCCCGGCUGCCUUCUGAUUCCUAAUGUGGCCGUGGGCUGUCUCCAGGUCCCUGCACGUCUGUGCUGUUCGGAGCCCGAGUCUGCCUGUCGGGCUUCCUCCGCCCUUUGCUCCCUGUUUUAGCCUGGUGUGGGCGGGGCCCCGGGAAGGGCAGCCAGCUCGUCACUUCCAGGCUCUGGAUCCUCAUUUUGGUGUUUUGGAUUACAGCUUUCUUACUUUCCAUUUGAAAAAUUAUAGCUUAAAAGAAAUGGAUAGGGGCUGGGGCUGGGGCUGAGUGGUAGAGCUCUCACCUAGCAUGUGUGAGGCCCUGGGUUCCAUCUUCAUCACCACGUAAAAAUAAAUAAAUAAAGUAAAGGUAUUGCGUCCAACUACAACUAAAAAAUAAUACAAAAAAAAAAAGAAAUGGAUAAAUUAGAGUUUAUCAAAGUUUGAAACUGCUGCUCUUACAAAAGAUAACUACGAAAGUAUGAAUAGGAAAGUCACAGUGGACGGGUAUUUGUAGCGUGCCCAUCCAAGCAGACGGAAGAGAACACGCACACUUCAGUAGUGAAGAUGCCCAAGGCACAGGUGAGCACAGGUGGGAAUGCCCUACACGAGAAGCUGUGUGUGUAGCAGCCAUGGAGCUCAGCCCUUGAUAGGAGCCGUCAGGGGAGGCUGCCGUGGCAGCCCCUUCACCCCCUCCUGGACGGCUGGGACUGAGACUGCUGCACUUGGCCUGGCGAGCACCAGCCAGAGAAGAGGACGCCCUCCUAGGAAGUGGUGCACACCCUUGCUGAGGCCCAGCAGCUCAACUCCUGGACGGUUACUCAAAAGAAAUGGAGACGUGUCCACUAAAAGAAGUGUCGGGGACGUUGAUUCCAGUCUGCUCAGGAAUGCGGAGGAGCCAGCUGCUGUGUGCCGCUGUGAGGUGGAGCCCGCGUGCAGACCACUGGCUCGCGAGGUUCCAGGACAGACCAGGCUCAGCUGCGAUAGUAGAGAGCGCAGGGCACGUAGAGGGCCAGUGGAGCAGGCUCCGGCUGGAGUGGUGGCCUCCAGCUGCACACGCGUGUCCAGACGCCUGAGCCGGGCGCUCAGGCAUGUGGAGUGUGCCUGAGUUUACAGAGGAAACCAUGGCUUUUUCCCGAUUCUAAAAGAGAGGAGUGUUUCUCGCAGGCAUUGGCAUAUUCAGAACACGGGCACCAUCUGCUUGGUGAGUGCCUGCAGGUGGUCAUGGUGCACCCAGGAAAUGACUCCAGGACCCGAGUGGCUGGGCGCCUGCGACAGUCAGCUUGCCAGGUCCUGGGGACUGCAGCUCUCCACAGCUGCACCGCAGUCGAGCCGGGAGCCACGAUGGGGUGACACGUUUUUCACUCUGGAACUUGAAAUGGUUUUCUGGUGUCGGAAGUCCUAGGGGGAGCUGUCCUGCAGGUCCUGCUCAUCUGUACAAAGAGGGUCUGGUGCUCCUGUCGAGGUUCUAAGCAAAAGCCUGAUGCCGGCACUGUGUAGAAAUGAUCUAAAUGUUCUUCAUCAGAGAGAAACGACCUGCCCGUGUGCUGUAGGGUCCUAACAUUCUGAAGUGCAGGGGUCGACCCAUGUCUCAGG